Clarias gariepinus (North African catfish) is the source of this 859-nucleotide long non-coding RNA. RefSeq lists it as uncharacterized. Lineage: Eukaryota; Metazoa; Chordata; Actinopteri; Siluriformes; Clariidae. The record is from RefSeq and is a predicted model, not a curated record. The transcript is spliced from 5 exons.
UAGUUGCAUGAAAAAAAAAUAUUUCGCUUAAAGUCGUGCUGUUAUACUAAAUAUUAGCACAGCUGUGAUGCCUUUAACACCUAGCUGCAUUGUUGGUCACAGCCGUGCUGAUAUUCAGUACUACAGCACUUCCUCUUGUGUGAUAUGGCAGUGUGUACUCACAAGUGUGUGUCUAUAGUUGGAGUGAAUCCAUGAUCUACUGGUACCUGUUGGGCCUUCUUUUACUACUGGUGAUACUGGUCAUCAUCAUCAUCAUGAUCUUCAUCAUCAUACGAAUAAUGAAACGGACAAAGAAUAAAAUCAGGACCAAGGAGAGGAGCAACGACACCACUGUUCACACAUCUUCAGCAUCAAAUGUUGAUAAGGAGGAUGUGAUCUACAGCUCUGUACAUUUUACUCCUAAAAAGAAAACUGUGCCUCUAAAUGAUGUUGAUGAUAAGACCAUCUACAGCACUGUGGUUUGCCAUUAAAAGACACUGAUGUGCUGUUUGGCUGGAAGGAAACUGCGAUUGGUGCCUCAGGGAUCUCUACUGGGUCUCAUGUUCAUCCUCAGCAUUAUGAACAAACCUGAUCAAGACAAGGACAACAUGCCUCACACUCGUAUCACAGACUUACAUCAUAGUCACAUGACCAUUAGGUCAUUCAGAAAAGACCUGUUUCCUUACUGUAGCUGCCACAUAACACCUCCUAGAGCUAACUUAAUACAAUUCCUUUGGGCAAACUGACAAAACUUCCAGCACAACUGAACAAAAAGGCACGAAAAAACAAAACAAAAAAAAAACUGGUGUUUGCUAAGAAAAAAGGAGCAGUUCUGUGAUCUAGCAUAAUCAUGUAUUCUUAUAUAUUUUAUAAAUAAAUG